Molecule: transfer RNA, 82 nt
Filed under: Echinostoma caproni
Lineage: Eukaryota; Metazoa; Platyhelminthes; Trematoda; Plagiorchiida; Echinostomatidae
Rfam family: tRNA
About the family: Transfer RNA (tRNA) molecules are approximately 80 nucleotides in length.
Source: Rfam by way of RNAcentral
GGCCUCAUAGCUGAGCUGGUAGAGCGUGCACGUGCAAAGCGUAGGCGGCGUCCAUACGUGGGUUCGAAUCCCAACGAGGCCA